Molecule: ribosomal RNA, 274 nt
Filed under: uncultured bacterium
Lineage: Bacteria
Description: partial 16S ribosomal RNA
Rfam family: Bacterial small subunit ribosomal RNA
Source: RNAcentral
AUACGGGGGGAGCAAGCGUUGUCCGGAAUUACUGGGCGUAAAGGGCGUGUAGGCGGCUUGAUAAGUCAGAUGUGAAAGCCUUCCGCUUAACGGAAGAACUGCAUUUGAAACUGUCGGGCUUGAGUGCGAGAGAGGGUAGUGGAAUUCCCGGUGUAGCGGUGAAAUGCGUAGAUAUUGGGAAGAACACCAGUAGCGAAGGCGGCUACCUGGCUCGUAACUGACGCUAAGGCGCGAAAGCGUGGGGAGCAAACAGGAUUAGAAACCCCGGUAGUCC